This 1266-nucleotide ribosomal RNA is filed under the name Nithecus jacobaeae. RNAcentral describes it as "16S ribosomal RNA". The stretch from base 1023 to 1182 matches the Rfam family "Archaeal large subunit ribosomal RNA", at positions 2542 to 2701 of the family's 2987-position model. The record is from RNAcentral. Lineage: Eukaryota; Metazoa; Arthropoda; Insecta; Hemiptera; Lygaeidae.
GGGAUUAAAUUUUUUAUUUGUUUUAUUUUUAUUUGUUAAAUUGGAAUAAUUUAUUUAUUUAGUAUAUUUUAUGGAAAUAUUUAUUUUUAAUUAUAGUUUAAUUUACUGUGAAGGGUUAAAUAUUUAAUUUUAGGAAGUAUAAUUUUUAUUAGUACCUUUUGUAUCAGGGUUUAUUAAUUAAUUAAUAUAUAUAUAUUAAUUCUCGAAGUUGUGGGAGAUAUCCUGAAAUGUUUUUUUAUAUAUCAUAAUGAUUUAUAAUUUUGGGAUAGGGGUUAUAUGCUAUUCAAUCUUAAUAUAUCUAGUUACUUAAGAAAUGAAUUUAAUUCACAAUUAUUAUGUUAAAUUUUAUUUUAAUUGAUUUUAAUAUAAUAAUUGAAGAUUAUGGGGGAUUAGCUUUAUAAUUUAUUAUAUAAGGAAUUCUUUUUUUAAUAUUUGUAGGCUUAAUAACAGCCAUCUUAAAUUUCGUUAUAGUUUAAUUUAUCUCUUUAUUUAUUUAUUUUUCUUUAUUUAUUUUAUUAAGUAUUAUUAUGUAAUUGGUUUAUAUUAGUUAUAAUGAUAAAAUUAGUAGUAUUAAUUAUUUAAGUUUAGUAAUUCGGCAAAUAUUAUCUUCGCCUGUUUAACAAAAACAUGUCCUAUAGAUACAUUAAUUUUAGGUCUAACCUGCUCAAUGAUUAAUUUAUUAAAUAGCCGCAGUAUAUUAACUGUGCAAAGGUAGCAUAAUCAUUUGUCUUUUAAUUGGAGGCUUGUAUGAAUGGUUGAACGAGGGAUAAUCUUUCUUUACUUAAUUUUUAUGAAUUUAAUAUUUUAGUUAAAAGGCUAAAAUGAUUUUGUGGGACGAGAAGACCCUAUAGAAUUUUAUUUUUAAUUUAAUAAUCUUAAUUUUAUCUCUUUAUUUAUUUAUUUUUAUUUAUUAAUUUGGUUGGGGUGAUUGUGAAAUUUUUUUAACUUUUACUUUUAAAUUAUUCAUUAAUUAUUGUUUUGUUGAUCCUUUAUUAUGGAAUAAAAGAUUAAAUUACCUUAGGGAUAACAGCGUAAUUUCUUUGGAGAGUUCUUAUUGAUGAAGGAGUUUGCGACCUCGAUGUUGGAUUAAAGUUAAUUUUUGGUGUAGAAGCUGAAUUUAUUAGGUCUGUUCGACCUUUAAAUCUUUACAUGAUCUGAGUUCAGACCGGCGUGAGCCAGGUUGGUUUCUAUCUACAAUUUAUUUUUAUAUUUUAGUACGAAAGGACCAAAUAUUAAUAAUAUUUAUUUUUAUUUGAUUAAUAUUAA